RNAcentral lists this non-coding RNA (27 nucleotides) under Mus musculus (house mouse). Lineage: Eukaryota; Metazoa; Chordata; Mammalia; Rodentia; Muridae. The record is from RNAcentral.
UAAGCUGCAAAGGACAGAAAAGAGUAG